Long non-coding RNA from Tyto alba (common barn owl), 902 nucleotides. RefSeq lists it as uncharacterized. Lineage: Eukaryota; Metazoa; Chordata; Aves; Strigiformes; Tytonidae. The transcript has 3 exons. The record is from RefSeq and is a predicted model, not a curated record.
GACCUUGCAUCAGCCAGAUCUAUUAAUUAAGCUAUAUGGUGCCAUGCAGUGAAAACUUAAAGCUUGUCAUGGUUCUGACCUCUAUGAAAAGAAUAUGACUUUUAGUGUAGGUUUGACUUUAGACACUAAAAACUAGCUGUCUAAAACUAAGGUAAACCAAGCUGGUAAUCUGCACUCCCAGAACAGCAUAUGAAGACAGAAAAGGCCCUUCCAGAGAAAAACUUAGGUGCCUAAGGAUCCCCAAAUCUGGCAGCCCUGAGGGGACAGGCUGAUGUAUGGAUCGGUGCAGGAUCCAGGGGAAUGGGAAUGGAGAGACUCUCCCAUCCACUUUGGACGACAAAUUGUGGAAGCUUCCAAGUUUAUUAAAACCUCUCCUUCAAAGGAACAUGUGAGCCCUAUCUCACAUCCAAGUGACAGUCUUCCUCUGACUUCUCUGGAGUUGUCAGUGAAAAUCCAAAGCCUUCAUCUUUACCCAUUUGACCUACCCUGCGGGUUUGUCCAUGUCUCACUAUCUGGAGAAGAAGGGACCCCUGAUUAAAAGGUAUGUUGGGGCAUUGGUCAACACAAAGCCAAGGGUCUCAUUUCCUCCUGCAUUAAUAUCUCACUACUGUUAAUUGCAGUUACGGGUGGAUAGGCAAUACUGGAGAACAGAGGACAUGAUUGCUUUGCCAUUACUGAUUACCUCACAUCACACAUUCAAAACGAAUUUGCUUGUCCCUGCAGUCCUUGGCUCAGAGAAAAAAAAAAAAAAAAAAAAAACUAGGGGGGAAAAAAAGCCUGUUGUUACUGACAGCUGCUCUUCAAAGGUCAAGGUUUACAAUAGUUGGAGCACUGCAGGUCACGGCUGAUGUGAACUGCACAGAGAAACUCUUCUUGCCCUCCCUGCAGCUUGACUGUAACGA